This 120-nucleotide ribosomal RNA is filed under the name uncultured bacterium. RNAcentral describes it as "partial 16S ribosomal RNA". It matches the Rfam family "Bacterial small subunit ribosomal RNA", at positions 29 to 141 of the family's 1533-position model. The record is from RNAcentral.
AGUGAACGCUGGCGGCAGGCCUAACACAUGCAAGUCGAACGGCAGCACAGGGGAGCUUGCUCCCUGGGUGGCGAGUGGCGGACGGGUGAGGAAUACGUCGGAAUCUACCUUUUUGUGGGG